ACAACUCAGUUUAGGGUAACCUGACUCAAAACAAAGGUUCAAAAAUAAGUCAAGGAAAUUAAAGUGGCCGGAUGACAUGUUUUAACAGCACAUGAAGCCUCACAUCUCACACUUGCACUCCUUCGUUACUGCCUUGUUACUACUAAUGCUUAACACUACACUUUGCUUUCCCAGCUUGGAGGCUGCAAAUGAUGGACAAAGACCCAAAGAAGAGAAUAAGACCCAAGUGGUUCAGAGAAGUCAGGUGCUAGAAAGUUCUGGGGUGCACAGCCACGUGAUCAGCUCCUAAUUCCCUCCCUCAGUUCUAAUUGACAACCUGAAGGGAUAUGAUUAUCCUGCUCUAUCUUCUCUGCCCACCUGCCUCCCGUUGUUCUGGUCUGUCUGCCUUUCCCAUUCAAGCCUUGGGACAUGGAAGAACAAAGACAAGUUGACUGCGAAGACCCUCCCCAGUGCACUCCUGGGUACAGCCUCUGAAUGUUGUGAUUCUUUGGUUGCUACUUUUGAAAAGGAUAAUUCAAUCUCAAGCACAGCAUUAGAGAGAUCCAGAACAAUUUGGAAUGUCUCUGUCCAGGCCAGAGAAAUGCUGUCGAGAGAGGAAAAGAAAAGACUGUGCCUGUGCCCGAAAUCUGUUCUACACCUUCUAGUGGGAAGAGAAUUUUCCCCUAAGCCAGCCCCAUGAAAAUACGCUCACUGAAAGCCAGUGGCUUCUCUAACUACUCAUCAAGACAGAUCUGGAAGAUUGGGACCCAGGUAGAGGGAGCCCCGCCUGGACUCAACCCCCGCAAAAGGAUUUGCGCAGAGUUCCUGAGUAAACAGCAAAAGAACGAGCUACAGCCUUAGCCAUAUCUUGAGGACAGAGUCACAUCUCCUGUGAUAAUCCCUUCUCCAAGGAAAGGCAGGAAACCAAGUCUCAGACUUUGGCAUCCUUGCAGUUUUUGUUAUCCACCUGCCGCCAAGAAGAAAGAAAGGAGGGAUGCAGCAAUUUCUCAGCCAUAUCCUGCCAUUUUUACAGCCCCGCACCUUCUUCCCUUUCCACCUCUGUGCUGGUCUUUUUCCCUUCCCCCAGGCAAAAGUAAAUACACCUUUUCUUCCUAUCCUAAUCUCUGUCUGGAUAAAUCUUUCUCAAAACCCAAGUGCACCGGCAACGCCACCCUACAACCUCUACUCUAAAGGAACAGUCCCUUGAGUUUCAGCCAACGAGGAGGCAAAGCAGGAUCUGACAAAUGACAGCAAGACAAGAAAAUGGGCCAGAAAAAAGAGGUGACAGAUGCCCAGACGAAUUUCACCCACUUCGUGAUUUUGCUUAAAACAAGGUUGAAGAUGCCUCAUUUUUUUAAACACGAACAUAAGCACUGACCCCAUCAUAAUGUCGACUCAGAUGGUGCCAUAUUAUGAACCUCACAGAAAGCAGUGGUUCGCUAUCUUGAGCACGCAACAAAAUCAGCCCGAGGGUUUCUGCCGAGUCUCAUGCCCGGAGUUCUGAUGCAGUACAUUUGGGUGGGAUCAGGAAUUUGCAUUUCUCGGGUAGGGCUGAUGCUCUGAGUCCGGACACCACGCUUUGAAAACCACCGGCCUAAAUAACAGCUCAUAUAUUUUUUCUCUCGCUUCUAUGCCAUUUUCAUUAGCAUCCGAAUUAGUAAAACAGCUCAGAGGGCCUAUGGACGCUCACGCUCAUACCAUCCGAAGAGGCUCAUUUCAUUCAACACCUGCAUUUUUUCAAGUGAAGGGAUGAAGGUCUAGAAAAAAAUGAAGUUCUUUGCCCAAGGUCACAUAACCAGUUAGUGACAAAGUUGUGGCAAGAAUUCCUAAUUCCUGACUCCUUUCUAGUUCUCUUUUAUUAUCAAGGGAGAGACUUGAAGCACAGAAAAAGGGAAAGUUUGGCAGAAGUGAGUGAGAACAAUGCAGACCACGAGAGUGAGAUCUAAUUGCAUCAAGCUAAUGUGUAUUUUUUGAAAAAUAUCAGCAAGACUGUCUCUAUAGCUACGACUCCUUGCCUAAUGGAAGGAGACAAGUGGGCAUGAGCUAAGCCAGUCAUGGGAGCUAUCACCACCCGAAAGUAUUUACAGAGCAGCUGCAUGAGCUCUUCACCUCUGGGCUGAGUGCAGGGCAGCCGUGGUAAUGGGAGAUUACAAAAGGAGGGCCCCGAGUAAAAAAUGUGCUAAUGGUGUUUGGGAGCAGAGGCUUCAGGCCAGGGAAAGAAUGCCUCACCCCUCCCCACUCACAGUGCUUGCUUGGAUGCUUAUUUUCUUAUAGUGACUUCAGGGGCUCUUAUUUCUUAUAAAGAGUUUGGAUAAAGUCCAGAAUUUUGCCUGGCCUCUACAGCCCUGCAGAACUGGACUCCAGUCUUCUGGCGUCAUGGCCACCCCUCCUCUGCAAAUACUCUCUGCUCCAGUCGGGGUGGUCUCCCCAGCACCCCAGGACUCUUCUUGAAAGACCCCUGAGACAAGAAAUGUAUUUACUUAUCCAGAGCCUGCCUUACACAGCUCUCCGUCUCUUUGAAAAAGAAACCAAGACCUGGAGAGGUUAGUGAAUUUCCCAAGGUUGGCAGACAAGCGUAGGAUUAGAGUUGGGUUUGCUGACCCGAGCCUACUGUCUUCUCCCUCAUCCUAUACUAGUUACCACGGUGGGUUAACUUUGUGGGAACAGCAUCUUCACUGCUUCCUCAAUGACACCAUAAGUCCCUGAAGAGUCAAAAUUUCGUGUUCCAUUCUGUUGUAUCCUCCACCGAGCCCAGCACGGGGCUUUGUGUACAGGAGAUGACUGACAUUUACCAUUUGACAAGGAUCCCUUCACCAUGGUCAAGACCUGGCAGAAAGUUAAGCCUGGGAGCUGACUUCAAUGGUGAGGGCCCAGAGAACAAGAGACGGGGAACAGGACCAUCCUCAUAUAGGGACAGAGUCCAUGGGCCUUUGUCUUUUCCCUGAUGCCCAGUUUCAAGUGAUACCAAUCACAUAAUGAAUCAGUAACGGUGUGGUAGGAAGGCAGUUCCUUAGUCUGCACCAUCUGGCCCUGGAUAGAGAGGUCCUCCAUAGUCGCCGGUAGUGUUCCACGCCCUAUGUGGCUCUAUCCUGGUCCACUCCCUCUGUCAUUCUCCCGAGUCUCCACCUCAAAGUCCCUCCACACCUUCGAAUCCCAGUUCCUGCCCUGCCCAUUGCCUGGCGCCUGACAGGUGUUGAACAACUGCUGAACAGAUGGAUGAAUGAAUGAAUGAAACGGUGUGGUCAGGAUCUGAAUCGAGUGUAAAUUGUUAAAAGUUAAACCUAACAAAUGUUGAUGUAUAAGUAGUUGAUGGAAAAGCUAUGAUAGCUUUGUACCCUGGCAACUUCUGCUAUAGUCCUGUGAGUUAAAAUAUUUAGGUUAUUAUGUAGGAAAUCUCUGAUUACCUUAAAUACUAAGUUUGACCAUUGAUAUCUCUGACAUUUCACUUUGACACUUCUUGUUUUAUUUUUAUUGUGAA
Molecule: long non-coding RNA, 3457 nt
Organism: Lemur catta (Ring-tailed lemur)
Lineage: Eukaryota; Metazoa; Chordata; Mammalia; Primates; Lemuridae
Exons: 3
Source: RefSeq, a predicted model, not a curated record